UACGUAGGGUGCGAGCAUUGUCCGGAAUUAUUGGGCGUAAAGAGCUCGUAGGCGGCCUGUCGCGUCGGAUGUGAAAGCCCGGGGCUUAACCCCGGGUCUGCAUUCGAUACGGGCAGGCUGGAGUUCGGUAGGGGAGAUCGGAAUUCCUGGUGUAGCGGUGAAAUGCGCAGAUAUCAGGAGGAACACCGGUGGCGAAGGCGGAUCUCUGGACCAGUUCUGACACUGAUGAGCGAAAGCCAGGGGAGCAAACAGG
This 253-nucleotide ribosomal RNA is filed under the name uncultured bacterium. Its description in RNAcentral is "partial 16S ribosomal RNA". It matches the Rfam family "Bacterial small subunit ribosomal RNA", at positions 524 to 776 of the family's 1533-position model. The record is from RNAcentral.